This 621-nucleotide ribosomal RNA is filed under the name uncultured bacterium. RNAcentral's name for it is "bacterial SSU rRNA". The stretch from base 1 to 534 matches the Rfam family "Bacterial small subunit ribosomal RNA", at positions 338 to 873 of the family's 1533-position model. The record is from RNAcentral.
CCUACGGGAGGCAGCAGUAAGGAAUAUUGGUCAAUGGACGCAAGUCUGAACCAGCCAUGCCGCGUGAAGGAUGAAGGUCCUCUGGAUUGUAAACUUCUUUUAUAGGGGACGAAAAAAGGGCAUUCUUGCUCACUUGACGGUACCCUAGGAAUAAGCACCGGCUAACUCCGUGCCAGCAGCCGCGGUAAUACGGAGGGUGCAAGCGUUAUCCGGAUUUACUGGGUUUAAAGGGUGCGUAGGUGGGUCUGUAAGUCAGUGGUGAAAUCUCCGGGCUUAACCCGGAAACUGCCAUUGAUACUAUAGGUCUUGAAUACUCUGGAGGUAAGCGGAAUAUGUCAUGUAGCGGUGAAAUGCUUAGAUAUGACAUAGAACACCAAUUGCGAAGGCAGCUUACUACGGGGUUAUUGACACUGAGGCACGAAAGCGUGGGGAUCAAACAGGAUUAGAUACCCUGGUAGUCCACGCCCUAAACGAUGGAUACUCGACAUCAGCGAUACACUGUUGGUGUNUGAGAGAAGANAUAAGUAUACCACCGUACGGAGACGACCGACGAAGGUAGUAACGUUACGAAAGUAAGUUAGUUAGGCGNGAGAGNGCGACGGACGACGACGAGGGAGGAGG